This is a non-coding RNA of Anolis sagrei ordinatus, 3928 nucleotides long. The record is from RefSeq and is a predicted model, not a curated record. Lineage: Eukaryota; Metazoa; Chordata; Lepidosauria; Squamata; Anolidae.
CUGCCAUUACGAAGGAUUGUUGUGUGUCGCUGUCUUUGUCCACUUCUUUAGCAUCUGCGGAGCAAGGCAGACACCACCAUCUUCCCAAGUUUGUCAUGGAAUAUCUCCUACUACUUCCUAACUCUGCAUGGCGAGAGGAAGACCGUUUGUUUUCCUCCAUUUUGGUUUGAAAAAGCCCAUCUUGUGAAUUGCAAUCAGGUCAAAGCAAACUUCGAGGGUCGCCCGAGAAUCAUCUGGAAAAGGGGAUGGAGACGAACGGAAUGAGAGGAGCACAACGGGAUUAGGCUGAGCACAAGGUUGGAUGGUACUGUCUUGUCGAAUCUUGGAAGUUACCUUCUGGAACUGAAGGAAUGGUCAGGAGAAGACUGGCAGUCAACUUCUUUGUAGUCCUGACCAUCCUCUUUCUUACUCAACUCUGCAGCACUGUAGAUGUUAACUGCUGCACUGUUUAUAUCCUGCCGUUUAACUCAUCGGUUCCCAACCUUGUUUUGACCAGGGACCACUUUGACCACGGAUGAUUGGAUCAGGAACCACUGGACCAGGGACCACUGGACCAGGGACUACUUUGACCAGAGACCACCUUGACCAGGGACCACUUGACCAUGGUCCACUUUGACCAGAGACCACUUUGACCAUGGGCCACUGAACCAGGGACCACUGGACCAGGGUCCACUUUGAUCAGAGACCACUUUGACCACGGACCAUUGGACCAGGGUCAAAGGGACCACUUUGACCAGGGUCCACUUUGACCAGAGACUACUUUGACUAGAGACCACUUUGAUCAGAGACCACUUUGACCACAGACCACUGGACCAGGGUCAAAGGGACCACUUUGACCAGGGUCCACUUUGACCAGAGACCACUUUGAUCAGAGACCACUUUGAUCAGAGACCACUUUGACCACAGACCACUGAACCAGGGACCACUUUGACCAGGGUCCCCUUUGAUCAGAGACCACUUUGACCACGGACCACUGAACCAGGGACCACUUUGACCAGGGUCCCCUUUGAUCAGAGACCACUUUGACCACGGACCACUGAACCAGGGACCACUUUGACCAGGGUCCCCUUUGAUCAGAGACCACUUUGACCACGGACCACUGAACCAGGGACCACUUUGACCAGGGUCCCCUUUGAUCAGAGACCACUUUGACCACGGACUACUGGACCAUGGACCACUUUACCAGGGACCACUUUGACCAGAGACCACUUGAGCAAGAACCACUUGGUCAAUUCACUAGGGACCAUUUUGACCACGAACCACUGGACCAAGGACCACUUCAUCAGGGACCACUUUGACCAGAGAGUAAUCUCAGAGUAAUGGUUGAAACCGGCUACAGAACAAAGUUAUCGACCACACAUACGGACUGAGUUGGACAUGAUCUUAUCUUGGCGAUUUGGCUUAUUUGUAAUUUUAAUCGAUAUGCAUUUUAACUCGUGAUUGUAUGAUGUUUCUAGACUGUACUAUUAGCCGGUCUGAGUCCCUCUACGGAGGUUGAGAAGAUCGGGAUAGAAAAGUUUUAAAUAAAUAAAUAAAUUUGACCAGGAGCCACUUGACCAGGGACCAAUUCACGAAGGACCAUUUUGACUAGGGAUCACUUUGACCCCUGGACCUCUUUGACCAGAGACCACUUUGACCAGGGACCACUCUCCAACAUUAGUACCAAAAGGGUUACAAAUAAGAUUUUUUUAAAUCAAUUUUAGAUCCGGUUUGGUUAUUUGGGGUGCUGAUUCAGGAAACUGUCUUGGAUAGACCACAUCAGCUGAUUCAGAAAAUUGCAUUGGAUAGACCACAUCAGCUCUAGUUUCUGAUAGAGAUCAUAAACCACCCAGUAGUCGCCAUCUGCUCGCCCACAGAAAACCAUAUUUAAUAAUCUAGAAUUUAUGUGGUAGUACAAUAGAGUCUCGCUUAUCCGACAUAAACGGGCUGGCAGAAUGUCGGAUAAAUGAAAAUGUCGGAUAAUAUGGAGUCUCCUACUCUUACCCGUCUGACACGGUGCUAGGUACCUAAAUACUAACAACAGGGACUCAAAGAGUUAAGGCACGGCAAUGCCCCGGGGCUGGAGAGGCCCAACGGAUGAGGAACCUGGAAAUUGUUGCGCAGCAAGGAGAUCUUAGCCACGUCCCAUGCUCAAGACACACAGACAAGAGUAGAAAAAUCUUUACUCUUAAUAGCAGAGGUGAAAUACAAACUUGCAAGGUUACAUACAAAAUACAAACAGUGCAAGAAACUUACAUAGUCUUUGUAAGUAACACAAAACAAGGCAUCUUCGUCUUAAGUCAAAUGAGAAAGCAAAACAUAAACCUUGAGUUAACAGCUAUUCCAUCAUAGCCUCCUUUAGAGCAGCAUAACGGCUUCUCUCCAACCUGCUCCUCAGAGCAGAGCCUUUGAGUAAAAGCUUUCCAGAACUGUAUUCUAAAAACCCAUACAGUUAUACCCUAUCGGCUGUACUCCAAGAUUGCUAGUUGACCUACAUUACCAGCUGCACAUAAUAAUUACCAUCAUAAGGUUAUUCUUCGACACACACAUACUUGGUCCUGCUGCAACUUACCGUAACAGAAAUCACAUAGGGAAGGAGGGAGGAUGCUGGUUAACCUACAUUACCAGCUGCACAAAAUAAUUACCAUCAUAAGGUUUUUUUCAACACAUACACUAGGUCUGGCUACAACUUACCGUAACAGAAAUCACAGAGGGAAGAAGGGAGGAUGCUGGUUGACCUACAUUACCAGCUGCACAUAAUAAUUACCAUCAUAAGGUUUUUCUUCAGCACACACACACUUGGUCCUACUACAACUUACCAUAACAGAAAUGACAGAGGGAAGGAGGGAGGAUGCUGAUUGACCUACAUUACCAGCUGCACACAAUAAUUACCAUCUUCAAUAUACACACACUUGGUCCUGCUACAACUUACUGUAACAGAAAUCACAGAGGGAAGGAGGGAGGAUGCUGGUUGACCUACAUUACUAGCUGCACAUAAUAAUUACCAUCAUAAGGUUUUUCUUCAGCACACACACACUUGGUCCUACUACAACUUACCAUAACAGAAAUGACAGAGGGAAGGAGGGAGGAUGCUGAUUGACCUACAUUACCAGCUGCACACAAUAAUUACCAUCUUCAAUAUACACACACUUGGUCCUGCUACAACUUACUGUAACAGAAAUCACAGAGGGAAGGAGGGAGGAUGCUGGUUGAUACUGUAUUGGUUGGUUGUGAGAGUUCUGUGUGCCAAGUUUGGCUCAAUUCCAUCAUUGGUGGAGAUCAAAAUACUCUUUGAUUGUAGGUGAACUAUAAAUCCCAGCAAUGACUUACUGUCAUUGAAAUGCAACUGUGAACCUGCCUUUCCGGCUGGCCUUCCAUCAUUUACUUUUAAAUAAAGACAAACUAGAUAUCGGCCUAUCUAGAAACAUGUCUUUCAUGCAGUAACUGGGAUGCUGUUAGUGACAAACACAUGCCUAAGUAUGUGCUAUGCAUAGAGUAACAUAUAUUUGGAAGACAACAGCAGGCCAUUGUACGUAGUAGCACAUUGGACAUUGUGCCUACUCAUUGAUGGAGUAACCUUAGUUCCACUUGCAUAGUGCGGACCUUGGAUUGUGGUUCAAGAGGAGCAGAGAUAAUGUUUUUGUAUACCUCCCCUUUUUUAUUUAAUUAUAUUAUAAACAAUGUGAAAUUUAAUUUAAUUAUAUUAUAAACAAUAUAAACAAUUACCAUUUUUAACAAGACAAACCUGACCAUUGUUUACCGAAAGCUUUUCAAGUUUUAUCUGAAUUCUUGAAUUCGUUAGUUCACAGCAUGCAAAAAAAAAAAAAAAUCAUAUAAAUUUACUAUUCAACUUAAGCAUCUCUCCAUGGGUCAAAAAGUGACUGUGGAACUGCCCGAAACUCACUGUUGUUCUUAAUGAAAUUAAUAAAGGGAAACCAUAUUGAAAAGA